RNAcentral lists this ribosomal RNA (465 nucleotides) under uncultured bacterium. RNAcentral describes it as "partial 16S ribosomal RNA". It matches the Rfam family "Bacterial small subunit ribosomal RNA", at positions 338 to 795 of the family's 1533-position model. The record is from RNAcentral.
CCUACGGGAGGCAGCAGUAGGGAAUAUUGCGCAAUGAGCGAAAGCCUGACGCAGCGACGCCGCGUGAGGGAUGAAGGUCUUCGGAUCGUAAACCUCUGUCAGCAGGGAAGAACGGUCACUGUGCUAAUCAGCAGUGAAUUGACGGUACCUGCAAAGGAAGCACCGGCUAACUACGUGCCAGCAGCCGCGGUAAUACGGAGGGUGCGAGCGUUAAUCGGAAUUACUGGGCGUAAAGCGCUCGUAGGCGGUAUGUCAAGUCAAGGGUGAAAUCCCCGCGCUCAACGUGGGAACUGCCUUGGAAACUGGCAAACUGGAGUGUGUGAGAGGAUAGCGGAAUUCCAGGUGUAGGAGUGAAAUGCGUAGAUAUAUGGAGGAACAUCAGUGGCGAAGGCGACUAUCUGGCACAUAACUGACGCUGAGGAGCGAAAGCGUGGGUAGCAAACAGGAUUAGAUACCCGUGUAGUC